Molecule: ribosomal RNA, 239 nt
Filed under: uncultured Lactobacillus sp.
Lineage: Bacteria; Bacillati; Bacillota; Bacilli; Lactobacillales; Lactobacillaceae
Description: partial 16S ribosomal RNA
Rfam family: Bacterial small subunit ribosomal RNA
Source: RNAcentral
CCGUAGCCCAAGAGAUCGGGAUAACACCUGGAAACAGAUGCUAAUACCGGAUAACAACAGAUGAUGCCUAUCAACUGUUUAAAAGAUGGUUCUGCUAUCACUCUUGGAUGGACCUGCGGUGCAUUAGCUAGUUGGUAGGGUAACGGCCUACCAAGGCGAUGAUGCAUAGCCGAGUUGAGAGACUGAUCGGCCACAUUGGGACUGAGACACGGCCCAAACUCCUACGAGAGGCAGCAGCC